UUCGGUGGUAAUGCGUUUAUGGGAAACACCCGUUCUCAUACCGAACACGAUGGUUAAGACAUAAACGGUCGAUGGUACUUAGUUGGAGACGACUUGGGAGAGUAGAUGGCUGCCGAUU
RNAcentral lists this ribosomal RNA (118 nucleotides) under Vallitalea guaymasensis. RNAcentral also lists the same sequence under 1 other name. The record is from RNAcentral. Lineage: Bacteria; Bacillati; Bacillota; Clostridia; Lachnospirales; Vallitaleaceae.